Molecule: ribosomal RNA, 847 nt
Filed under: Rhodella violacea
Lineage: Eukaryota; Rhodophyta; Rhodellophyceae; Rhodellales; Rhodellaceae
Description: eukaryotic LSU rRNA
Rfam family: 5.8S ribosomal RNA (bases 273-426)
Source: RNAcentral
CUCGGCUGCCGCCGGUGAACGGCGGCUCGGCCGAGUUCGACUAUCCAAACCCACCUGUGUCACCUAGAAACUGGAUUUCUGUUUUGCGCUUUUUUCAGUGAAAAGCGUGGGUGUUUUGCCCCUUGGGGCGAGAUGCCGUUAUUUUUCACUCCUAUUACACCUCUGGGCGGCAACGUCUGGGGAGACGAAUUUAUCGAGGCCCUGGGCUGCUAUGGGAUUUUUGCGCGAGCAUUGCCCCAGGCUCCCCGCGGCCUCAAAGACCAAUGACACAAAACUCUUAGCGGUGGAUGUCUCGGCUCUUGUAUCGAUGAAGAACGUAGCAAACUGCGAUACCUAGUGUGAAUUGCAGAAUUCCGUGAAUCAUCGAGUCUUUGAACGCAAGUUGCGGUCGCGGGCAAUCCUGCGACCAUGCCUAUUUGAGUGUCGCUUUCACACAUCGCAAACGCCACUGCGCGGGUUUUAACUUAAAGCUUGUGGGUGUCUCUGGACGAGAGGGGUGUCGCGCGGUGUUUUUAUUAUAGAAAAGCCGCCCGACGCCCGCGCGGAUUGCGGCCGUGGGUGCAUCGGUUUCUCGGAGGGAAUAAGGGCUUUAAAAAAGCCCUCCCCGCGAACGGAGCCGUGACCCGAAACCGAGUCUCGCGGACGACCGCCCAAGGACGUGCUCUGCCGGCGCCGUAAUAGGCGACGGGAGACAGGCGCGCUUUGGGCGCUGCGGCAAAAGGACCUGGGAGGACCCUCGCGUCUUCAAACUUCCUUUUGGCUGACCGCAGCGCCUACCCCAAAGAAGCGAGCGUGGCGGCGCAAAAGGCGCGCACGGCCUCCAUGGCAAGGCGUCCACUGUUGUGUU